CGGGAGGAUUACUUGAGAUGAUGAAUGCAGAGACCCUGGCACAGUACCAAGUACAGGCUGGGCCGGAUGGCAAGUUAGGAAGCUCCACACACCCACACCGAGCCGGCUGCUCUGAGGAGGGGAGGCGUCUUCACUGAGGAGGAAUCGGGGCGCUCACCCAGGAUGCACUAUGGUGCUUCAGCCAAGUGAAAGGCACUCUCGAGAUUGGAGCCACGGAAG
Manis javanica (Malayan pangolin) is the source of this 219-nucleotide non-coding RNA. Lineage: Eukaryota; Metazoa; Chordata; Mammalia; Pholidota; Manidae. The record is from RefSeq and is a predicted model, not a curated record.